AGCAGCAGCUUCUUCUUCCCUAUUUCAUACACACGACGCCAAACAGAUUGGGGAGGAAGGAAAACUCCAUAACCCUCAUCAAAUCUUCUCAUUACCAUAACUUUUCCGUUCGAGCUCCGAUUGCCGCACCGUUCGCGGCCACGCGUCGAGCUCUACAUUUCUGUCGGAUCAAUUUCACCGGUUCGAUCUAGCUUCCAGAACUUAUUGGGCUUGAGUUAUUAUGCGUAUGGGUACGAUGCAGGUCGAGAGGCUCCUCGCUAGGCGUCUGGAUCUUGAAGCGGAGUAGUCCCUGGGUUGUUUUGGGUUUUAUGAUUGUAUAUAUAUGUACCUAUGUAUCUAGCUUGCUCUCCGAGAAACUUGCUUAUUUUGCUCCUCAUAGAGGUUGAUGGAGAGAUAGGGCCUUAUUUUGUAUUUUGUGUAUUUUGGGAUACCUAUAUAUGUAUAUAUAUAUACCC
Molecule: non-coding RNA, 455 nt
Organism: Arachis ipaensis
Lineage: Eukaryota; Viridiplantae; Streptophyta; Magnoliopsida; Fabales; Fabaceae
Source: RefSeq, a predicted model, not a curated record